RNAcentral lists this ribosomal RNA (1475 nucleotides) under Candidatus Pelagibacter sp. RNAcentral's name for it is "bacterial SSU rRNA". It matches the Rfam family "Bacterial small subunit ribosomal RNA". The record is from RNAcentral. Lineage: Bacteria; Pseudomonadati; Pseudomonadota; Alphaproteobacteria; Candidatus Pelagibacterales; Candidatus Pelagibacteraceae.
AAACUUGAGAGUUUGAUCAUGGCUCAGAACGUACGCUGGCGGCACGCCUAACACAUGCAAGUCGAACGAAGUAGCAAUACUUAGUGGCAGACGGGUGAGUAACAUGUGGGUAUCUGCCCUUUGGCCUGGAAUAACACGAGGAAACUUGUGCUAAUACCGGAUAAGUCUUUACGGAGAAAGCUUUAUGCACCAUUGGAUGAGCCCGCACUUGAUUAGUUUGUUGGUGGGGUAAUGGCCUACCAAGACUGUGAUCAAUAGCUGAUUUGAGAGGAUGAUCAGCCACAUUGGGACUGAGACACGGCCCAAACUCCUACGGGAGGCAGCAGUGGGGAAUCUUGCACAAUGGAGGAAACUCUGAUGCAGCGAUGCCGCGUGAGUGAAGAAGGCCCUUGGGUUGUAAAGCUCUUUCGUCGGGGAAGAAAAUGACUGUACCCGAAUAAGAAGGUCCGGCUAACUUCGUGCCAGCAGCCGCGGUAAUACGAAGGGACCUAGCGUAGUUCGGAAUUACUGGGCUUAAAGAGUUCGUAGGUGGUUGAAAAAGUUAGUGGUGAAAUCCCAGAGCUUAACUCUGGAACUGCCAUUAAAACUUUUCAGCUAGAGUAUGAUAGAGGAAAGCAGAAUUUCUAGUGUAGAGGUGAAAUUCGUAGAUAUUAGAAAGAAUACCAAUUGCGAAGGCAGCUUUCUGGAUCAUUACUGACACUGAGGAACGAAAGCAUGGGUAGCGAAGAGGAUUAGAUACCCUCGUAGUCCAUGCCGUAAACGAUGUGUGUUAGACGUUGGAAAUUUAUUUUCAGUGUCGCAGCGAAAGCGAUAAACACACCGCCUGGGGAGUACGACCGCAAGGUUAAAACUCAAAUGAAUUGACGGGGACCCGCACAAGUAGUGGAGCAUGUGGUUUAAUUCGAAGAUACGCGCAGAACCUUACCAACACUUGACAUGUUCGUCGCGACUCUAAGAGAUUAGAGUUUUCGGUUCGGCCGGACGAAACACAGGUGCUGCAUGGCUGUCGUCAGCUCGUGUCGUGAGAUGUUGGGUUAAGUCCCGCAACGAGCGCAACCCUCACUUUUAGUUGCCAUCAUUAAGUUGGGCACUCUGAAAGAACUGCCAGUGAUAAGCUGGAGGAAGGUGGGGAUGACGUCAAGUCCUCAUGGCCCUUACGUGUUGGGCUACACACGUGCUACAAUGGUAUCUACAACAGGAAGCAAGACUGCGAGGUCAAGCAAAUCCUUAAAAGAUACCUCAGUUCGGAUUGCACUCUGCAACUCGAGUGCAUGAAGCUGGAAUUACUAGUAAUCGUGGAUCAGCGUGCCACGGUGAAUGCGUUCCCGGGUCUUGUACACACCGCCCGUCACACCAUGGGAGUUGGUUCUACCUUAAGGCAAGGUUUUAAACCCUUGACCACGGUAUAGUCAGCGACUGGGGUGAAGUCGUAACAAGGUAGCCGUAGGGGAACCUGCGGCUGGAUUACCUCCUUU